This is a long non-coding RNA of Anastrepha ludens (Mexican fruit fly), 760 nucleotides long. RefSeq lists it as uncharacterized. The record is from RefSeq and is a predicted model, not a curated record. The transcript is spliced from 3 exons. NCBI's taxonomy places the organism in Eukaryota, Metazoa, Arthropoda, Insecta, Diptera, Tephritidae.
GUUUUAAUUUUAUCAAUACUUUACAUUCGUACUUUUCAAGUAUAAUUUUGUUGGAACAAUGGGCAAAUCAUACUCACGCCCCUCUUUGCACUCACCAGCCGGCGCUCAUGCCAUUUGUGAAAUCAUUGUUAGAGUUGAGAACAAACGAUAGUUGAAUUUCAAAGCUCACCACCUAUCUCGCUUGCACUUUAGUUGAAAGCCAAUUGUCGCGAAAUUCUGUUGUAAUUAUUGUGAAAAUGAAUUUACCAAUUUUUGAAAUCAAAAUUUCACAACGAGCCCUAAACGUGAUAUGGUGUAAUUUGCAAAUGCCGAAAUGUUUGUAUUAUAAAAGUUGGAUUAUCACAGCGAUGGGACAGUGCAAAUUCAACUGUGAAAAGCAAAGUUAUUAAAUAGUUCGUUACGAAAAAAAAGUAAAACAAAAGCAUCUAAAAUGAAAAACAAAAGAAUCGAACCUAAUCUCGUCAUUCUGGCUGAAAAAUACAAUGUCAAAAAGAUGGUCUGCCGUAAGUGCUACGCUCGACUGCCGCCUAAGGCCACCAAUUGUCGCAAGAAGAAUUGCCACUCAACUGAUCUGCGCCCUAAAAAGGAGUUGAAAGACUUGAAAGGUUAAUACAAAAAAUUCCGCGUCUUUUUUUAUCGAUAUAUUUAUAUUUGUCCUGAAUGUAAAUAUAUAUCCACCUGAAUACAAGCAGUAAUUUUAAUUUUUUAUAUUAUAUUUAAUUCUUAUUGUACAAUUAAUUUUAUACAGAGAAAAGAUAAA